AAGACAUAAUUCUAGUACUCUGAGAUGAACAACACAAGUACUAUUAAUCAAGGACAAGUCUGAAACUGAACAAGUGUCAAGCACUACUCAAAUCUGAACAUUACAAAGCAUUACACAUCUCAGCUUACAGAAAAUUCAGAGAAAGAUAAUGAGGGAAACAGCAGUAGUAGGGGUUCAGAGAAGCAGCAAGGGGGCGAGUGAGGAGCAGCAAGGGGGCGCUGGAGAGGAGCAGCAGCAGGUUGGAGAUUAGAGUUGUAACAGCAGCAGGGGCGUCAGGGAGAGAGAAAUAGCAGGUUGAAGCAACAGCAGCAAGGGGAUGCAAGGAGAAGGAGCAAAAGGGAAUAGGAGCAGUAGCAAGGAGAUUUAGAGACGAGGGAAGGAGGAGCAGCACCAGGGGAAGAAGAACAGCAGCAGAGAUGAAGAGGAAAGAGCAGCAGCGUGGUGAGGAGAAGAAGAUCAGCAGCACGGGGGCGCUCACGCGGAGGACCAGACGCCCGUGACCCUCUUGUCUGGUCGGGCGCGUGAGGUGCGGCGGUGGCUGGAGAUGGUGGCGAUGGUGGAUGGAUUUGGUGGCGUGUUGUGGGUGGUGGAGAUAAAGGGGGUAAAUUUAGUAUGUACAUCAGACUUGGUACAAACAGGAAGGAAAGGGGGUGAAAGUAGUAUAGACUGGUCAUCCAACCGUCUCUUGGUCCAAAAGGGAAGUAUAGGGAAAAUGCUUUACAUAGUGGUAUGACCAGGACUAGAUUUGCUAUCCACACAUAGGAGUGGGUGCCUAGAGUGAACAAAAAUGGGACCAACCCAGAUAUGUUUCUUGGAUGUUUGUUUCUCGAGGCAACAAACUUUGAAUCACCACUUUAUGCCCCGGUUUAGGUACAUGGUGCUUGACUGCUGGUGCACCCACUGUCCCAUGCCCUUAUAGCAAAUAUUUAGCUGUUAUUAAUCUAAUGCCUCGGGUAAAAUGAAGCCAUGCUACUGUUAUAAGCAAUGACAAGUUUAGCCAAUUGUCUUUGCCAAUAAUUGUUUAAGACUCUGACUGUUUCCUCUCUUGCUUCUUGUGCAAACAGGGAUAUCCAUUUCUCCUCAUUGCUAUUGCGACCUUUUGGUGCACUGCACAAAACACUUCUUAAAAGAAGUGACUUUUGUGCUAUUUAACUCGAAUGUCAGAAUGGAAACGUUGUUUCAUUUCGGUGGAACUGCACAAAGGGAGAUCUGUGUUCCAAUCUUCAUCAUCCAAAUUGGCACCAUAAUCUUCCUUUAGGUAAGAAUGAUAUUUAAUGCAUGUGUUCAUCUCUAUUUUGGACUGCCAUCAGAAAAUAAUGCUAUUGUUUACUAGUACACUUGUAUUCCCUCACUGACAAAACCAAUUCUGAAAUAGAAGGCCAAUCAUGUACUUGGUUUCAGCAACUGGUGAGGAGAAAGAGAAACAGAGCAUGAUAGGAAGAAGAAGAAGAAGAAGAAGAAUAAGAAGAAGAAGAAGAAGAAGGAGAAGGAGGAGGAGGAGGAGGAAAUGAAGAACAUCACAUAAUGGUAUCGUCCUAUGUUAUCCUGACAUCUUGCUAUUGGUAUUGUAUUGAUGUGUUGCUACUAGUCUUAAUUUACUUGGAAGACUAGCAAGAUGCUCAUUCGUUGCACAUAACAUCAAGAUGCAUUUGUAUGAGUAGUUUAUCUUGUGAGAGAAAAGGAUGAAUGAGGGAAGGCCUUAUUUGCAAAUGUGGAGAGAGGUGUGGGUAUCUUUUUGCAAAAUUGCCAUAGUUUCCUUCCUAUCCGUCAGAUAUAAAUCGAACGGCCUAUAUUGCAGGAUGGCAGGCACACCAUCAUCACCAACUCUAUUUUUUGUAAGAGUAUAAGAGUAAUAGAUAAUAGAGUAGAGAUAGAUAGAGAAAUGCAGCAGAGUAGUACUUGGCUUGACGACACAUCAUACUAAUUAACCAGAUUCUGGAUGCAUGUGUGACCCAGCUCUACAUGAUCAACAGUGCCAAGGUGAUCUUGCUGAAGUUGAGGCCUCAGUCGAGGCCAUUCAAGGGCUCUAGCAACAUCUCCCUUACAUGUGAGACAAUCCUCCAGGGAGCCCUUCCACUUCCGAUGUCUCUCCUGCAAGGUCACUUAAUUAAUUAGGAGUACUUAAGUAGCACUAAUUCAUUGCUGCCUAAUUUUCCUGCCAGAGUUAAACAAUCUUUAGUAGAACCCUAUGCUGAAUCAUGUACGUGUGUAUCUGUGUCUGUGGAGGUGAAUCAUGUGGUGGAGCAGGGAGGGAAUCUUGGUAGUGUCAUGACAUAAUAAUGUUAUUGUUUUGUAUGUCAAUUUAUUGCCAUUGGUUCAAUGAGGUAAUGUUUUGUGUAUUGUCCAUCAUGAAUUUGAUGCUAAUGUUAAAGUAAUAUGCUAAUGUCUUUCUAUCCUUUCUCACUAAGCUAAUGAAGGUUUCACCUUGUUCCUACUUAUGCAAACAGGGAUCAUGUUGUGCCAAUCGUACAUUUUAGUAGAACUGCACAAGAGAAUACAAUGGACUGUAUCCCAACCAGUGCUUUAAAUAUGCUGGAAGUUCUUCAUAAUCUUUCGAUAUAAUCUCACCACUGGUAAACAAGAGUUAUUUCAACCAUACAUUUGAAGUGCACAAAAAUAUAUACUAUUGAGUGAUUUAAGUGAGUGCUUUAUCAUCUCUUCUGGGACUACUUGAAUAAGCUUUUUUGCUCAGGUUGGUACCGGCCUAAGGCCUUCAGCCAUAUUAGUUUGCUAUCAUCUCUAUUUGUAUCGUGCUACUAUGUUGCUACAUUCAUGAAAAACUCCUUUAUCUUUGCAUGUUAAAGUUUUGCAACCUAUGAUACACGGCAACACUCAGUUCACAUAUUCACAUCAAUCGCCCUAUGUCGAAGGUAAAAUUCAGUGGGACGGUAUUUAAGAAAUGACUCAAGCAACCCAAAUAAUAGUUGAUUACAGCAUGUAUAAUGUAUGAUGGUAUUCAGAUUGGGGUCAUGAAACAGCUCACCGGGUUUAUAUGAUGUAGGUCUCGCUCGAUCACUCUCACAUCCACGUGCAUUGCGACUCCUCUCCUUUUGCUUCCCUGUCCUCAUGCCUGCUCCAACUUCUCUCUUCAUGUGUGCUCCUUGCUUCUCCUCAUCCCCAUGCCAUGGGUCCACCAGGGUCCCAGGGAAUGUCAUCUCGAACUUGGUCAGCAUGUAUUGAUUCGUGCACAAGCAAAAACCUGAAAUAGGACUCACACAAACAACAACUACAAGUGAUAGGGUAGAUGCCCUCUAAAUCAUCAAUAGAGUACCCAAUUACAUAAGCAUAGCUAUAAAGCACAUGUUUAGAAUGGUAGAAAUGAGCAAAGUCAACACUAACAUGAGGAUGAUAUUUUUCAUUAAGCUCAAGACUAGCAUAAGAAUGAUAUGUUUCAUUAAGCAUAGGUCUAGCACAAGGGAAGUAAUUGUGAUCAUCAUUAAUGUGAGUAAUGCCACUAACAGGGUAUAUAUGAUCAUAUCCAAGCAAAUACUUUUUCAAAUCUACUUUAACAGAUGGCAUCAUGUAAUGCAAGGUGGUAGCAAAGAAAUCACAAGGCAUCAUGUCAUCAAGAGGAUUGAGUAAACCUGACACAUCACGCUCUGGUAUGACAAUAGGCAAAUGAAUCUCAUGUUCUUCAUCUUCAUCUACAGCAGCUUCUUGUACUUCUUCAGGAGUAGUAGAUGAUGAGUCUUCAACUUGAUCACUUUGUUGUUCGAGCUCUGGAUCAUCCCUUGGCUUCGAGAAUUUCUUCUUGGAUCUGAAGUAUCUCUUCCUCUAGACUCUCGCUAUCUUGCUCUGCUGAAUGUGAAGGUGUUGGAACCUCCAUGUAUCAAUGGAUAUCUCAGCAACACUCAGCUCUAGCUGUGAAGAAAUAGUGCUGCCAGCGUUGAUGUUCUUCUCAAUCUUCCUUACUUCUUCCACUAGCUCCUUUCCACUCUUAAUCUUCUUCAUUUCCUCUAGUAUCACCGGCCUAAUUGGAUCAUCUUCGGCACUCCAAGUGAACUCGAGACCAAGCAAUGUGAGCUUGUCUAUAUCAUCAAAGUCAUCUUGUGUGGGCACUUGUGUUGAAGAUGUUGGUUGACCAAAUGGAGGACCAUUUAACUCCAUUGGCAACAUGUCCUGGUGUUGAGGUAUAUGAGUAGGAGCUGAAUAAAUCUGCUGUAGAGCAUAGUUGUGGCUCUCCUCUUCAUACCUAAAUCCCUGCAUUGGAUAACUAGAGGCAAACGAUGAGAUCUCAGGGUUAUUGCUCCUAUAUGACAUAUUCUGGUUUUCAGGCCACCCAUGUGUGUAAUUGUUUUGGUAUGAGAUAGGCUAUGGGGCGAAGCUCAUGCCAUAACAAUCGGGAGGGUGAGAGUAACCACGCUGACAUUCAGCGGGUGAAUGGCCCUGAAAUCCACAAAUAUGGCAUGUAGGAGCAACAUAAGGAUGACCUCUAGAAUAAGGAUCAUAAGAGCUAGGCCUAUCCUCAAAAACUACCUCUCGCUGCCGAGCUAAAUCAUCUAAUUGAUGGGAAAUCUUACUUAUCAGUUCUUGAAUACUUUCCGUGCUGUUUGUAGUGUUGCUCGCAUAAGCCGGAUGAUCUGAAUAGAAUGCCAUUACCGAGAGGAUAAUCCAACCUGCAAAAAGGAAAAGAAGAGAAAAAGAUACUAACUAGAAUAGGGGUUAGUGGCUAGAGAUAUAUCACAAAUAUAUGGCACAAGAUGAAAACAAGAAAAACCUAGUCUAUAGCCUAGCACAAUCGCUCGACGCUAAUCCCCGGCAACGGCGCCAAAAUGAUCGAUUGAAAGUAUAGCAGGGUUUUUACGCCCCUAACUACAGAUGUCGUGUUCUCCACAGGGACUAGGCGACAGCAACAAUGCUCAUCUAAAGCUAGGUGACAGAAUUUUAAGAGAGGAUUCCAAGAAAACAAUAACCUAAACUAGCUAAGGUUGACGACAAAGAAAGGGUAAACAGCAAGGGGAAAUUCAGAUUUUACUCAUUGUCUUUUUGGUAUUUUUAUUAGGCUUGAGGGAUUAAAACACUAACGCAAACGAGAAUCAAUAUUAGGGAAACCUGCUAGACAAGAACACAUAUAACUAUCAUACAUGAACAGAAUAUAUAUGACAUAUAUAGCUAGUACUCUUACAUUUUAAAUGAGAAUCACAAUGUAACAGUACAACUCUCACAACACAAACACUCACACAUAUAUAACUAGCAAUGACAGAAGGAAAGAAACAAGCUAAUAUGAUAGGGACAAAAAUAUAUCACAACACAAACAUAUAUGUUUUCACAGGAACAAAGUUAACAAAAACACUACAGAACACACAUCCCACAUAUGCAAACAGGGGGAGGUUACAAGACAUAAUUCUAGUACUCUGAGAUGAACAACACAAGUACUAUUAAUCAAGGACAAGUCUGAAACUGAACAAGUGUCAAGCACUACUCAAAUCUGAACAUUACAAAGCAUUACACAUCUCAGCUUACAGAAAAUUCAGAGAAAGAUAAUGAGGGAAACAGCAGUAGUAGGGGUUCAAAGAAGCAGCAAGGGGGCGAGUGAGGAGCAGCAAGGGGGCACUGGAGAGGAGCAGCAGCAGGUUGGAGAUUAGAGUUGUAAUAGCAGCAGGGGCGUCAGGGAGAGAGAAACAAUAGGUUGAAGCAGCAAGGGGAUGCAAGGAGAAGGAGCAAAAGGGAAUAGGAGCAGCAGCAAGGAGAUUCAGAGACGAGGGAAGGAGGAGCGGCACCAGGGGAAGAAGAACAACAGCAGAGAUGAAGAGGAAAGAGCGGCAGCAUGGUGAGGAGAAGAAGAUCAGCAGCACGGGGGUGCUCACGUGGAGGACCAGACGCCCAUGACCCUCUUGUCUGGUCAGGCGCGCGAGGUGCGGCGGUGGCUGGAGAUGGUGGCGAUGGUGGAUGGAUUUGGUGGCGUGUUGUGGGUGGUGGAGAUGGCACGGUGGAGCUGGUGAUGUGCAACGGCGAAGUGGAGGGA
RNAcentral lists this long non-coding RNA (5965 nucleotides) under Triticum aestivum (bread wheat). Its description in RNAcentral is "long non-coding RNA (TAES_LNC007030)". The record is from RNAcentral. Lineage: Eukaryota; Viridiplantae; Streptophyta; Magnoliopsida; Poales; Poaceae.